Molecule: long non-coding RNA, 592 nt
Filed under: Mytilus galloprovincialis (Mediterranean mussel)
Lineage: Eukaryota; Metazoa; Mollusca; Bivalvia; Mytilida; Mytilidae
Source: RNAcentral
CUGCCAAGUAAUGAAAUUUCAAAGAAAAAAAAACCAACAAACUUUCGCUCUCUUGCUACCCUUUUUUUUAUAAGUGUAAGAAGAACUAGAAAUUAAUUUGUUGUAGCCUUCAGCAUAUCAUGUUUUCUAAAAGUUUGUUACCUGAGUGAUAUUAAGGUCAUCUUUCAUUGUAAUAUUAUACUUCCUGAAAAUUGUGAAUUAUGGGCCAUGAAUGUCAAAACUUUUAUUUUAGAUCAUUUGAAUUCUGUUGGACUGUUUACUCAUAUUUGUUAAUUAUGUCUUUUAGCUGCAUGCAUUGGGUCUGAACACUUUUCAUUGGCUUGUGAUGAUCAGAAGGUUGAUUGAAAUACCACAUCCUCCAGACAUAUUGUCAUUACACAGGCUGUCUUAUAGUUGGUCUCUUGUGGAGAGUUGUCUCAUCAUACCCCAUCUUUUUAUUUUUAUACGCCCAUUUAAGGGACGUAUUAUGGUAUACCUUGUCCAACAAUAACUCCAAAAUGCUUUAACCAAUUUGCAUUAAAACUUUGAUAAUUAUUUUUAAAAUGUUUUGACGUAAGCUCCAUUUCAAUCUAUAAAUUUUAAAUUUUGUGUU